CGUGGCUAACCUGCCCUUAGGAUCGGAAUACCCCCGGGAAACUGGGGCUAAUUCUCAAUAGGUGAAGAACUCUGGAAUGAGUCUUCACUGAAAAGGCGCUAGAGUUAUGCUCUUUGGCGCCGCCCAAGGAUGGGGCCGCGACCGAUCAGGUUGUUGGUGAGGUAAUGGCUCACCAAGCCUUUUACCGGUGCGGGCCGUGGGAGCGGGAGCCCGGAGAUGGGCACUGAGACAAGGGCCCAGGCCCUACGGGGCGCAGCAGUCGCGAAAACUUUGCAAUAAGCGAAAGCUUGACAGGGCUAUCCCGAGUGCCAUCCGCUGAGGAAGGCUUUUACCCAGUCUAGAACGCUGGGGGAAUAAGGAGAGGGCAAGUCUGGUGUCAGCCGCCGCGGUAAUACCAGCUCUCCGAGUGGUGUGGAUGUUUAUUGGGCCUAAAGCAUCCGUAGCUGGCUAGGUUAGUCCCCUGUUAAAUCCACCGAAUUAAUCGUUGGAUUGCGGGGGAUACUGCUUGGCUAGGGGACGAGAGAGGCAGACGGUAUUUCCGGGGUAGGGGUGAAAUCCUAUAAUCCCGGGAAGACCACCAGUGGCGAAGGCUGUCUGCUAGAACGCGCCCGACGGCGAGGGAUGAAAGCUGGGGGAGCGAACCGGAUUAGAUACCCGGGUAGUCCCAGCUGU
This 672-nucleotide ribosomal RNA is filed under the name uncultured archaeon. Its description in RNAcentral is "bacterial SSU rRNA". It matches the Rfam family "Archaeal small subunit ribosomal RNA", at positions 99 to 754 of the family's 1478-position model. The record is from RNAcentral.